RNAcentral lists this non-coding RNA (23 nucleotides) under Cricetulus griseus (Chinese hamster). The record is from RNAcentral. Lineage: Eukaryota; Metazoa; Chordata; Mammalia; Rodentia; Cricetidae.
UAGGGCGGGGACUAUCAUAUUGU